AAAUUGAUUGAUAAUUUAAUCCUCAGUUCCUCACCAUAAUUUUCUCUCCUCCAACAAACAAAUAAGCUGAAAGCUGAGACAACAAAAGUGGUGUCGGACUGAGAAUGAUAAAGCAAACAGUUCAAAGGUUGGAAGGAUGCAUAUCAUCGGCAUCAAGAAGAAAGAAUGUUGAUAUAAAAUGGAAGAAGCACUUUUUUGGCAAUUGGGUCAGAAACGUGAGCAACACCACCCAACCUGAAAGGACAACCUCGUACAGUGUUCCAAAGGAGAGAGUGGAUUGCAUAGUGAUAGGUGCUGGUGUGGUGGGCAUAGCAAUAGCAAGAGCCCUAGCACUUAAGGGUAGGGAAGUGUUGGUCAUAGAAUCUGCCCCCACCUUUGGAACAGGCACCAGUUCUAGAAAUAGUGAAGUUAUUCAUGCUGGAAUCUAUUACCCUCGCAAUUCUUUCAAGGCAAUUUUUUGUGUAAGAGGAAGGGAAAUGUUGUAUGAGUAUUGCUCCAAGCAUGAUAUUCCACACAAACAAAUUGGUAAGCUCAUAGUGGCUACUCAAUCUUCGGAGAUUGCAAAACUAGAUGAUAUUUUUAAUCAUGGGAUUCAAAAUGGGGUUGAUAGUUUGAAGAUGAUGGAUGGUGCUGAGGCCAUGAAAAUGGAACCUGAAUUGCAAUGUUUGAAGGCAAUACUAUCACCUCUCACGGGGAUUGUUGAUUCCCAUUCUUUAAUGCUGUCUUUAGUGGGGGAAGCUGAAAAUCUUGGAACAACCUUCACGUACAAUUCAACUGUCAUUGGUGGCCAUCUCAAAGGAAAUGAGAUUUGUCUUCAAAUAACAGAAACCAAGCAUCUUAACCAAUGGGAUGGAACAUCAAUUUUGCACCCAGAACUUGUCUUAAUUCCUAAACUUGUUGUCAAUUCUGCAGGCCUGAGUGCCCCUGCUCUUGCAAAAAGAUUUAUUGGCCAACAAAGUGAAGUUAUUCCUCCUGCCUACUAUGUACGUGGUUGCUACUUCAUGUUAUCUAACACUAAAGUCCCUCCUUUCAAACAUUUGAUCUAUCCUAUACCAGAGGAUGGCGGCAUUGGAGUGCAUGUUACACUAGACUUGAGUGGUCAGGUCAAGUUUGGGCCAAAUGUUGAAUGGAUUGAUGGUGUUGAUGAUAUUUCAAGCUUUCAGAAUAAAUAUGACUUAAGUAACCAUUGAUCCUAGGUUUGACUAUUCAGUAAAUGCAAAUCGUGCUGAGCAAUUUUAUCCAGAGAUAAGAAAGUACUACCCAAAUCUGAAGGACGGUUCUCUAGAACCUGGAUAUUCAGGGAUCAGACCUAAACUUUCAGGACCGCGCCAGCCCCCUGUUGAUUAUGUUAUACAGGGAGAAGACAUCCAUGGGGUACCAGGUCUUGUAAAUCUUUUUGGAAUUGACUCACCAGGUUUAACAUCAAGUAUGGCAAUUGCAGAUUUUAUUUCUACAAGAUUUUUGGGAUGAUGGAAGUAUGAAGUGUAAAGAUGUAGAAACUACGCACCACCCGAAACCAAGUUGUUAUUACACAUGAAAUUUUGCAUUAUUAAGCUAAAAUUGAGUACAAUUUGAUAAUAAUAAUAAUAAUAAUAAUUCAUUAAUACCACAAAAAAAAUGUCCACAUUCGUU
Molecule: RNA transcript, 1632 nt
Organism: Abrus precatorius (Indian licorice)
Lineage: Eukaryota; Viridiplantae; Streptophyta; Magnoliopsida; Fabales; Fabaceae
Gene name: L-2-hydroxyglutarate dehydrogenase, mitochondrial
Exons: 5
Source: RefSeq, a predicted model, not a curated record